AAAUUCCCGCGAUGUGCACAGGCCGUGCCGGUUGCGUCAACCGCGGGUGACCAAGGCGUGCCGCAUCUGCGGCGUGUUACCGUGCUUCGAGCAACCAGAGGUGUUCUAUGACGCGGCUUGAGUGUGAUCGGCGAUUGUUCUCUUUGCGCGCCAGCGAUCACUUUACGUUACACCUAGAAGCAAUACUCCUCAGCUGCCUGAAACAGACUGCUUGUUUUUGUACUCGGACAAGAGGGCCCUGCGGCAGCAGUGGAUGAUCGUGGCAAAACAAUGCAAAUGUACUAAUAAGCAUAUAUUUGUGAGUGGGAGGCAGAAGGCUGACCGAGAGUUCCGACUUGCAACUAUGGAGAUGGGAUCCAACUGCCUAUAAAAAAAGAGGCACUUUGCUUCAAGACAUUACUUGGCCAUUCUGUAACGAAAUAACAUCUGAAAAGAUGAAAAGCAGUGCCAUGGAUGAUGCUACCACAGUAGGAACUGGAAACCAUCUCUGAUAUUAAGUAAAUGGGAACACAACUCAGGACCUGACUGGUGAUGGUUGCUUCAUAGGAUGGCGGUUGGCUUCCAAUACCUUUAACAGACGAAUACUAGAAUUUUUCAAUGAGAUUGAAGUGAUCAGAGCAGAAGAUAUGCAGUCUGUCACUAUCGCAGAGCCUUCUCCAACUGGAACAGCAGUGACAUAUUAAGGUGCUGUCGAUGGCAGUGUUGUGAGGUCUGAAUGGGAUGAUGCCACACCUGCUCACUUUUAGACUGAUGCUUACGCUGAGUUGGAUAAAAUAUUAAAAACCAUUAAUCUGAAUGUGAGAUAUGAAUGGCUGUUUUAUUGAUGCUGAGAUGAAUAAAAUAUUGAAAUCCAU
Long non-coding RNA from Schistocerca americana (American grasshopper), 854 nucleotides. RefSeq lists it as uncharacterized. Lineage: Eukaryota; Metazoa; Arthropoda; Insecta; Orthoptera; Acrididae. The record is from RefSeq and is a predicted model, not a curated record. The transcript has 4 exons.